GGGAGUGUGCUUGGCAAGUAUCAUAGUUGGGUGGGGCUGCUGAUACCUCAGAAAGCAGGAAUAGAAUUCUUCAAAUGACCCUGACAAAAUAAGGGAGAUGAACCAUCACAAGGAGGACCAUGUUCAGAGAGGACGAACACAGAGAUGGGGUUUCACCAUGUUGACCAGGCUGGUCUCGAACUCCUGAGCUCAAGCAAUCCUCCCACCUCGGCUUCCCAAUUGACCUUUUGAGGUCAAUUCAGAGUCUUUGUUCUUAUGUUCCAUCCUUUGAUUGCUCCAUUUGAGGUAUUACGUGGCCUCCUAUUUGAGACCAUACCUGGCUUCUGUUCUGUAGUGGGGAGUGUACCUCCAAGUUAGGAGGGCUCUCUAUUUUGGGACGAUUUAGACACUGCCUCUCCUCUAAGAACUCAAGGUGCCAUGGCAAAACCAGCUCCAAUCUUAUUAGGGACCCAUCAGUGAGAGAUUACAAUUGGUCUUCACACCUUUGAAAGGUCUAGGUGGAAGAGGUGACCUCCAAGACAGGCAUGAUUUCAAUCUAAUUGACAGUCAAUUCUGUGCCCAUGUAGCCUCAGGUUCUCAGCCAUGUUGCUGAUGGCCAGCCCUGGGCCCAGCUAAAAUGCCCAGCUCCUUGUUUGAAGUGAAGCUGAGGAUAUACUUGGAUUUUAUUUAACAUUGCAAAAAGCAUUAGUGCCUAGAUUGGGUCAGUCCACAUCCCUAGAUUUAUCUGGUUUCUAUUUUAGUCCUUUAAGGAGCUGGACACAGCUAUCAUAUGAUCUGAAUUUGUAGUGUGUGUGAAGGGUCAGAGGUUGGUCACUGUGGAAAUCUCCAUAGCUUGAAGUAUGGUUACCAGGACUGUAGGCUUGGCCUUGUGCUAGUUUACAUACUGUGGGGGAUAGAAGACACCUAUUUUGGGUUGCGUACUGUCAGGAAGACAAAACGGAACCACAAUCAAAUGAAUGAAAUGCAUGUGCUUCAAUUGUAUGGUAAAGGUUAAAGGGAUUGGAGAAACUGUAAGAAAGGCUAUGAUGGGAUUGGGGUGGGUGGGUAGAGUAGUGGGCAUUCCAAAUUGGAGAGAAACCUCAGCCAAAUCAUGGAGAUGAGAAGGUCUAGGUGUGCUUGAGGGGACUGGCCAAAAUGGUGGGAAAAUCAGCUUGGUGAGGCAGCUCAUGAAGAUCUUCACAGCAGAAGAGUUUGGCUAUUAUUGAUUGAGCAACUGGACACCCUGACUGAACUCUUUUGUGAAUGGUUUUAUGGUGGAAAAACAAAACCUCCUCAGCUCCUCUUUCACUCUUUCUCUUCUGCAAGGAAAAGGAUUUUCAGACUAGAAAGGACAAGGUGAACACCAGAGAGAAGCUCCUGAAGGCAGUCUAGUCCAAGAGAGCCGUAAGCUGCCUUGAGUAACUCCAUCUCAUUGUCUGAGUCAGUAACAUCCCAGGGCACUUAAGGACUUGCAGCUCAAAUUGCAGGACAACUGGUGGUGGCCCUGAAAACCCCAUGAAGAAGGGAAGAGAUACGUGCUGCAGCCUACAGAUGGGUAAACAUGGCCCCACUUUGACAGAUGGGAAAAGGUAAACUCCACAAAUUAUAGAUCAAUACAUUUGAUAUUGAUUGAGGGCAAGAUUCUAGGACAAAUGAUUACAAGGAUGGUUGGUGAGCACUUACAAAAGGAAGCAACGAUCACAUGGAUCGUCCCCACAUGGAUUCAGGAAAAACAAAUCAUGCCCCGCUGGGUUCAUUUCCUUUGACAGAGUGACCAGACAGGUAGAGGAGGGAAAAGUUAUCACUCACAGUGUAUCUAGAGUUCAACCAUUCUUUCAAUGCUUUUGGGACAACAUGUAUACAUGUGGGGUGGGUAAAGGUAAACCUAGGCGAAUUCUUAACUGGUUGAAUGACUACAUACAAAAUAGUUCUGUUUUAAUGUCACUAGAUCAAAUUUACGAAUGACACAAAGUUGGUAAAGUCCCUUAUUUGAACUUCAAAAGGUGGCAGUACAAAUGUAAGACAUGAGAGAUGUGGCUUAGAGGGGUUUUAGAGUGAAUGAAAGCUCAUGAGUUGAAAGUGUGGUUUGGUUGCUGUAAAAAGUAUUGUGACCUUGGGCCAUAUUACUAAGAGUACAACUUUCAGAACAAAGGAGGUGAUCAUCUUGUGCUACUCUGCACUGAUCAGAUCACAUCUGAUGCCCAGUGUUCAGUUAUGAGCACCAGACUUCAAGGGAGAUGUUAACAAAAGUAUAUCCAGAGAAGAGUGAGAAGACUGAAGAAUCCCAGGAGAAAUUUGUCUACUGUCAGUGAGUAAUUACUGGGCUCACAGUAGAUUUGUUCUGCGUGACUUCAGGGCUCCAAGAUCUAAUGGAUGGAAAUUAUAGGAAAGCAGAUUUGGCUUCAACAUAAGGAAGAUGCUCCUUUUCCUUCCUUUUUUAUAAUGAAAAAUUAUAAUAAAAGUUUCAGCUCCUGA
This is a long non-coding RNA of Symphalangus syndactylus (siamang), 2454 nucleotides long. RefSeq lists it as uncharacterized. Lineage: Eukaryota; Metazoa; Chordata; Mammalia; Primates; Hylobatidae. The record is from RefSeq and is a predicted model, not a curated record.